UUCACUUUGCUUUUAUAAUAUAUCCAUAAGGAACCUCUUUCCUUUCUCUAUCAGGUUUUCUGAAAUAACAUUUAGUGCUGCACAUGCCUCUGAGAUCCCAGGGUGGAAGCCCAUGGUUUCCUUAAAGGUUCUGAUCUCCACACCAGCAAGGCAGCAUGAACCUGCUGUACUGUCAGCAAUCACCUCCCUGCCACCACAGAAGGUGUCAGCAACAUUAUUCCUCUGCCUGCUGAAUGCACGAGCAAAGGUGAGCGUACAGUCAGAGCACAAGAGGGAAAGGAUGCUUUGGUCAGGUGACUGGACUCUCCACAGAGCUCUUAAAGAUGAUCCUACCUGAUACUUAUGCUUCAACAUAAAUAAACAUUUUGCAUAUUUUUCCGACACAUGAUUAUUCUUUGAUAUGUUAAAAUGUAAGUCCCUCCUCUUUUGCUUUUCUGUGAUUUAAAUAAUUACCUGAAUAGACCAUGUGAAUUAUGGCUUUCACAUUCCCCAGUUCAAUCAUGCUAAUUUAUCUUCUGGCAGAGAAUUUCAAACAAAAUUAUUGUCUCGUUCUGAGGCAUGAUGUUAAUGAAAGAUAUUAAUUACUUCUUAGAAAGCAUAUUCUUUAACUAGACCACAAAUUGAAGAAGAGGUUUACCAGAAAAAAAUGAAUUCUGCUUUAGUUCUCCCUCUUCUCACACACACAGAAUUUCUCUCACCUAGACUCAUACAAAAAUGCCUUUUUAUUCUCACUCUCAUUGAAAACCUUUCUUUUCCUUCUGUAUCCUCACUGAACACUGGUGCCAUCCCUUUUUUUAAUGGCAUCUAAGAUAUAUUUCCUUUGAAAACUCAUCUUUCUAGCUCUGAAAAAAUACAUGAAGAUCUCUGGUGUCUAAUCAAAGCAAAUGGAGGCUAUAGACUAUAGUCUACACUUUUUGAACAUCAAGGAAAUCCUUUCUUGUUCAGUUUCAAAUACUACGCUCUGCAGAUAAGCCAGGCAAUUUUAACUAAAAUUUUCAUAGAAAAAG
RNAcentral lists this long non-coding RNA (1007 nucleotides) under Struthio camelus australis. RNAcentral describes it as "lncRNA (ENSSCUG00000013400.1)". Lineage: Eukaryota; Metazoa; Chordata; Aves; Struthioniformes; Struthionidae. The record is from RNAcentral.